UCUAGUGAUGAUGGCAAAGAGGUCACACCUGUUCCCAUACCGAACACAGAAGUUAAGCUCUUUAGCGCCGAUGGUAGUUGGGGGUUUCCCCCUGUGAGAGUAGGACGUCGCUAGGC
Molecule: ribosomal RNA, 116 nt
Filed under: Lysinibacillus sp. 2017
Lineage: Bacteria; Bacillati; Bacillota; Bacilli; Caryophanales; Bacillaceae
Also listed under: 1 other name
Source: RNAcentral